CACUUACGGGAGAUCGUUCCCAAAAAACUCUAUGGUGCUAGGGUGAAGUUCGAACAUAAUCGCUCCUUACGCAUGAAAUUGCAGGAAAAAAGGGCUUGUAAUUCGGCUACGGAGAUUUCCGCCAUUUCCAUUCUUCAAGAGUCGCUCCUGUUUAAGGGAAUCAACAAUUUCUACCGCACAAACAAGUCCUUGGAACAGC
Non-coding RNA from Drosophila takahashii, 199 nucleotides. The record is from RefSeq and is a predicted model, not a curated record. NCBI's taxonomy places the organism in Eukaryota, Metazoa, Arthropoda, Insecta, Diptera, Drosophilidae.